RNAcentral lists this long non-coding RNA (253 nucleotides) under Phoenix dactylifera (date palm). Its description in RNAcentral is "long non-coding RNA (PDAC_LNC000333)". Lineage: Eukaryota; Viridiplantae; Streptophyta; Magnoliopsida; Arecales; Arecaceae. The record is from RNAcentral.
UGAGCUUUUAACCAUGCCGUCCUACACGCCUCAGUCCUCCUCCUCCUGCUGCUACCCUCAGAAGAGGGACUUCGGCACCCUCCUCGACGCCGCCCGCCCCUUCCUCCGUGAGCAGCUCGAGUUGGUCGACCCCGCCCUCCCCUCCCUCAUCACCGUCCUCCGCUCUGUUGGCGCCGGGGAGUGCUUCCACAAGCAUGGCUCUUUCCUCUCCCACCUCACUGAUGUCUACCGCAUCCUCAAGCUGUGGUGCGCC